RNAcentral lists this non-coding RNA (224 nucleotides) under Streptomyces sp. Amel2xC10. Its description in RNAcentral is "Streptomyces sRNA 4677". It matches the Rfam family "Streptomyces sRNA 4677". Rfam says of the family: Located in the intergenic region between anti-sigma factor SCO4677 gene and a putative regulatory protein gene SCO4676. scr4677 expression requires the SCO4677 activity and scr4677 sRNA itself seem to affect the levels of the SCO4676-associated transcripts. The record is from Rfam by way of RNAcentral. Lineage: Bacteria; Bacillati; Actinomycetota; Actinomycetes; Kitasatosporales; Streptomycetaceae.
GGGUCCGGUGGGGCGCGGGCCUCCCUAAAGAACCGGGGGAAAGAACUCCCGCCCACCCACCCUCCCCGGCUUGGAGGGCCGCGUCACCCGUCCGAGUGACCGGCUUGCGGGUACGGGUCACGGACGGUUACGUUCGCCGCGACAACCGCAAACAGAUACGGCCCCCGGCCGGGACGGCAAUCCCGAACGAGGGCCUGACCAACCAGGAAGCAAACCCCUUCCCG